CAGGCCAUGGACGCUGGGGGAGAGGAGGUGGCUUUCCUACCUAGCAGGCCAUGGACACUGGGGGAGAGGAGGUGGCUGUCCUACCUAGCAGGCCAUGGACGCUGGGGGAGAGGAGGUGGCUUUCCUACCUAGCAGGCCAUGGACACUGGGGGAGAGGAGGUGGCUUUCCUACCUAGCAGGCCAUGGACGCUGGGGGAGAGGAGGUGGCUUCCCUACCUAGCAGGCCAUGGACGCUGGGGGAGAGGUGGCUUCCCUACCUAGCAGGCCAUGGACGCUGGGGGAGAGGUGGCUUCCCUACCUAGCAGGCCAUGGACGCUGGGGGAGAGGAGGUGGCUUUCCUACCUAGCAGGCCAUGGACACUGGGGGAGAGGAGGUGGCUUUCCUACCUAGCAGGCCAUGGACGCUGGGGGAGAGGUGGCUUUCCUACCUAGCAGGCCAUGGACGCUGGGGGAGAGGAGGUGGCUGUCCUACCUAGCAGGCUAUGGACGCUGGGGGAGAGGAGGUGGCUGUCCUACCUAGCAGGCCAUGGACGCUGGGGGAGAGGAGGUGGCUGUCCUACCUAGCAGGCCAUGGACGCUGGGGGAGAGGAGGUGGCUGUCCUACCUAGCAGGCCAUGGACGCUGGGGGAGAGGAGGUGGCUGUCCUACCUAGCAGGCCAUGGACGCUGGGGGAGAGGAGGUGGCUUUCCUACCUAGCAGGCCAUGGACGCUGGGGGAGAGGUGGCUUUCCUACCUAGCAGGCCAUGGACGCUGGGGGAGAGGAGGUGGCUUCCCUACCUAGCAGGCCAUGGACGCUGGGGGAGAGGUGGCUUCCCUACCUAGCAGGCCAUGGACGCUGGGGGAGAGGUGGCUUCCCUACCUAGCAGGCCAUGGACACUGGGGGAGAGGUGGCUGUCCUACCUAGCAGGCCAUGGACGCUGGGGGAGAGGAGGUGGCUGUCCUACCUAGCAGGCCAUGGACGCUGGGGGAGAGGAGGUGGCUGUCCUACCUAGCAGGCCAUGGACGCUGGGGGAGAGGUGGCUUCCCUACCUAGCAGGCCAUGGACGCUGGGGGAGAGGUGGCUUCCCUACCUAGCAGGCCAUGGACACUGGGGGAGAGGUGGCUGUCCUACCUAGCAGGCCAUGGACGCUGGGGGAGAGGAGGUGGCUGUCCUACCUAGCAGGCCAUGGACGCUGGGGGAGAGGAGGUGGCUGUCCUACCUAGCAGGCCAUGGACGCUGGGGGAGAGGAGGUGGCUGUCCUACCUAGCAGGCCAUGGACGCUGGGGGAGAGGAGGUGGCUGUCCUACCUAGCAGGCCAUGGACGCUGGGGGAGAGGAGGUGGCUG
Oncorhynchus keta (chum salmon) is the source of this 1324-nucleotide long non-coding RNA. RefSeq lists it as uncharacterized. NCBI's taxonomy places the organism in Eukaryota, Metazoa, Chordata, Actinopteri, Salmoniformes, Salmonidae. The record is from RefSeq and is a predicted model, not a curated record. The transcript has 8 exons.